Molecule: non-coding RNA, 736 nt
Organism: Paramuricea clavata
Lineage: Eukaryota; Metazoa; Cnidaria; Anthozoa; Malacalcyonacea; Plexauridae
Source: the annotation of a GenBank genome assembly
CCCAUAUAUGUCCAAUAUAGCCAUCGGUUGUCAGGUGGUGAAGAUGGUGUAAGAUGGUGUCAGACGCUUUGUUUGUCAGAUGCUUGUAGCGUGGUGUCGGAUGGUGUAUAGCAUGGUUCAGCUGAACAGUGUUGUCAGGUGGUGAAGAUGGUGUAAGAUUGUGUCAGAUGCUUUGUUUGUCAGACGCUUGUAGUGUGGUGUCGGAUGGUGUACACCAUCUGACAACCAUCUGACACACUUCGACCAUCAUACACCAUCUGUACCAUCUUCACCGUCUGAUAAACCUUCCCUGUAUAACCACCCUACACCAUCAUACACCAUCUGACACAUUUCGACCAUCAUACACCAUCUGUACCAUCUUCACCAUCUGACAACCCUUCCCUGUAUAACCACACUACACCAUCAUACACCAUCUGACAACCAUCUGACACACUUCGACCAUCAUAACCAUCAUACACCAUCUGACAACCAUCUGACACACUUUGACCAUCAUACACGAUCAUACACCAUCUGACAACCAUCUGGCACACUUCGACCAUCAUACACCAUCUGUACCAUCUUCACCGUCUGACAACCCUUCCCUGUAUAACCACACUACACCAUCAUACACCAUCUGUCAACCAUCUGACACACUUUGACCAUCAUACACGAUCAUACACCAUCUGACAACCAUCUGACACACUUCGACCAUCAUACACCAUCUGUACCAUCUUCACCGUCUGACAACCCUUCCCUG